GCUCUGACACUCCCAGCUGGAGGCAGGUGAUGGAGAGGUGGUUGUGGAAUGGAACUGCUUAAUCUGGAGAAUACUGGCCAAUCUGAAAAUGCAAGCAAACUGUCAAGUGUUUAGACAAGGCGCUACAUACCGUAGUAACGCUGAGUGGUUCACGAAGUGUUGGCAGGAGGCUGUCCUGAGUCUAAUCCCUGCUCCCUAAGGGGGCCCCGGUGAUGAUCUCACAGGGCUGAUGCCGGGCCUCGCCAAGAUAACGUCCGUGACGGCUUUGUCAGUAGACCUGAAGGAAUACGUACUAUGCUUUGUCAAGCUUUGUGACAGCGAGAGAUGAGGCCAUCAACACCCUUCCUUGUGCCUUACUCCUGAGCACUGGUGGUAUAAACGCUUCCAUGAAUGUCUUCUCAUCCAAGGUUUCUCAAAGAGUCUAACUUCCUUGAACAGCACUUACACAGAUCUACAGUACUGCUUUGAAAGCAAACGAGUGAAUUUGAUACUGAAUUGAGUGUAGAUGAGAACACUGCUUUAAGUCUUUGAGUUUUGAAAUCGCUGUAUGCUCUGUUAAAACAGUCCGUUGGACUCUCUGUAUAAAGUUCCGGAAGCCUGUCUGUCCGUCACUCCCUCCCCAUGUACCAGUAGGGCCUAUCACAGCCAUGAAAAGGUAAACUGCCCAAAUCCUCUCCCAUCUUUGCUGGGUUAUGUGAGAAAGAAAAGAUAAAUAAUAACGGUGAUGCUGAAGUAA
Non-coding RNA from Peromyscus maniculatus bairdii (prairie deer mouse), 736 nucleotides. NCBI's taxonomy places the organism in Eukaryota, Metazoa, Chordata, Mammalia, Rodentia, Cricetidae. The record is from RefSeq and is a predicted model, not a curated record.